AACGAACGCUGGCGGCAUGCCUAACACAUGCAAGUCGAACGAGACCUUCGGGUCUAGUGGCGCACGGGUGCGUAACGCGUGGGAACCUGCCCUUAGGUUCGGAAUAACUCCCCGAAAGGGGUGCUAAUACCGGAUAAUGUCUUCGGACCAAAGAUUUAUCGCCUUUGGAUGGGCCCGCGUUGGAUUAGCUAGUUGUUAGGGUAAAAGCUUACCAAGGCGACGAUCCAUAGCUGGUCUGAGAGGAUGAUCAGCCACGCUGGGACUGAGACACGGCCCAGACUCCUACGGGAGGCAGCAGUGGGGAAUAGUGGACAAUGGGCGAAAGCCUGAUCCAGCAAUGCCGCGUGAGUGAUGAAGGCCUUAGGGUUGUAAAGCUCUUUUACCCGGGAUGAUAAUGACAGUACCGGGAGAAUAAGCCCCGGCUAACUCCGUG
Molecule: ribosomal RNA, 433 nt
Filed under: uncultured bacterium
Lineage: Bacteria
Description: partial 16S ribosomal RNA
Rfam family: Bacterial small subunit ribosomal RNA
Source: RNAcentral